CUAUGAGGAUUGACGAUACUGCGGCGCUGGAUGACCUUUAUUGGCGUGUUCUGACCAGCGGUCGCUGUGGCGGCGACACGAGCCGCUUGUUCCCCGUGUCCCUGUCAAAACACGGCGGGGGUUUUAUUAUCGUUUCUCCAACCCGGCGCCGACGACGUUCAUUUGAAAUGGGAGGCAACGCGAGCGCGGCGAGGAAAGUGUCCUUCGGACUGGACGAAGACGAAAAGGUCACAGUCAUUGAAGGAGUGAAGCUCUCGGAGGAUGUGCUCCGUCGGAUGAGGGAAAGCCAGGAGUCUCCCGGCUCCAAGCCGCCUCCAGCAUCACUGGACAAGCCGCAUACAAGUCCAAAACAAACCAGACCUACCACUACAGAGAUACAGGAAGAGCUACGCAAAGACUUUGAGUGGCAGCAGGCUGUGGUGCAGGAGCAGCUGAACAGACUGGCCCAGAGGGAGCGAGACAAUGCUGCAAUCACCAGUCUGGAUGAGCUGACCCCUUCUGUCAUUAUCGAGAAAGGGAAGGUCCGCGAGGAGCAAGAAAAGGCCCAGAUACUUCCAGCCGAUCUGGAUGCUUGGGCCAAACAACUGAAGAGGAAAGAGAGCGAACUGGCCAGUAUCUCCAGCUUUUACAAAGAGCAGCUAGAAAUACUAGAGAAGAAGAACCUUGACAACUACAACGAGACGGCUGAACAGUACAACCAAGCUGCUGCCAAAGCGGAAACCCAUAUCCGGCCCCGGCACACUGGGCCCGUGUGCGCCGAGCUGCAGGCCAAAGUGCUCCAGUGCUACAGAGAGAAUCCACAGCAGACGCUGCACUGCUCCAGCCUGGCCAGGCAGUACAUGACCUGUGUCCAGCAGGCCAAGAAGGUGAGGAACCUGACUGAUGGGAAGUAGAGGAAUUCUGCUGUUUCCUCCUAAGAGGAAAAAUGAGGCAUGAGUCUUUGUAUCGAGGAUGAAAGAGGAGGGAUAGAAGGUGUCUGUCAACUGGGGGCUUGCUGACCAAUCACGGCUGAGGAACCCGGCGAACCAGAAGAAGGAAGGAAAGAAAGAAGGAGGAAGAGAGCGCGUCACAUGCAUCCAUUUCUCACCUCCCAUUCCCUCCUUCCUCCGUCCAUUCAUUGAUUUAGCUCCUAUCACCCAAUAAUCCCCCCCUUCUUUCCCAAUCACCGUCCUCUUUGGUUUUUGAGAGUAUUAUCUUGACUCGUCACUCCAGAAUUCAUGAUGUGUUGAUUUAUUGUCGAGUUGCGCCGGCACACCGCUGCCGUCACUGAAAUAAAUCCCAGUGAUCCAGUGGUGAUGAGACUGCAGGUGGUGUGUCUUUGUGUGUGUGUGUGUGUGUGUGUGUGUGUGUGUGUGUGUGUGUGUGUGUGGAGUGUCUUGUCACGACAUGCUAAUAAUCCUUCUACUGCCGACGCGGUUGUGUUCACCCUUCUGACAGUGCUGUUCAAACCCAGGGGCUUGAUUGUGAGCAGUUUCAUUAAGCAAGAGCGAGAAGGGGAAUAAGGACUAAAUGAAUGCAUGGCAGAUGAAUAUGAAUUAAAUAUUAACAUGUA
Molecule: RNA transcript, 1552 nt
Organism: Betta splendens (Siamese fighting fish)
Lineage: Eukaryota; Metazoa; Chordata; Actinopteri; Anabantiformes; Osphronemidae
Gene name: MICOS complex subunit mic25a-like
Exons: 10
Source: RefSeq, a predicted model, not a curated record